UGUGGGAGGGGACAAAGCUGU
RNAcentral lists this microRNA (21 nucleotides) under Monodelphis domestica (gray short-tailed opossum). Its description in RNAcentral is "mdo-miR-12311-5p". Lineage: Eukaryota; Metazoa; Chordata; Mammalia; Didelphimorphia; Didelphidae. The record is from miRBase by way of RNAcentral.